This 468-nucleotide ribosomal RNA is filed under the name uncultured bacterium. Its description in RNAcentral is "partial 16S ribosomal RNA". It matches the Rfam family "Bacterial small subunit ribosomal RNA", at positions 28 to 507 of the family's 1533-position model. The record is from RNAcentral.
GACGAACGCUGGCGGCGUGCUUAACACAUGCAAGUCGAACGGAAAGGCCCUGCUUUUGUGGGGUGCUCAAGUGGCGAACGGGUGAGUAACAGGUGAGUAACCUGCCCUUGACUUUGGGAUAACUUCAGGAAACUGGGGCUAAUACCGGAUAGGAGCUCCGGCUGCAUGGGGGGGGUGGGAAAGUUUCGGCGGUUGGGGAUGGACUCGCGGCUUAUCAGCUUGUUGGUGGGGUAGUGGCUUACCAAGGCUUUGACGGGUAGCCGGCCUGAGAGGGUGACCGGCCACAUUGGGACUGAGAUACGGCCCAGACUCCUACGGGAGGCAGCAGUGGGGAAUAUUGCACAAUGGGCGGAAGCCUGAUGCAGCAACGCCGCGUGCGGGAUGACGGCCUUCGGGUUGUAAACCGCUUUCGCCUGUGACGAAGCGUGAGUGACGGUAAUGGGUAAAGAAGCACCGGCUAACUACGUG